UUAAAUUCCACAAUUAACCUCUAAUUUUUACUUUUCGCAUUUUAAUUUCCGCUCCUAACAUUUUAUUUUCUAUCAUUUACCUUAUGCACUUUUAUUUUUAUUUUUAUAUUCUUUUUGCUAUAUCAUUGUACAUUCUUCAUUCAUCUCAUCUAAAAAAUGACUAAAAAUGGAUAAGACUUUAAAAAUAAAAAUAAAAGAUAAUUCUCAAGAAUGUAAUGGAGUUAGAGAUUAUUCUUAGGCCCCUUGCAAAAGACCUUGGACAAAUAUUCAACCCGAACAUGGAAGGAGCAUUCAAGAAUCAAGAUAAAUUGUAAUCUUUUAUGUGCUUUCUUGUUUAGGACACAAUUGCACACACAUGGCUUUCUCUUGGGCUACCUGACAGUGAGACCUUUUAUUUCCUGCACUCCCUUGUACUUUACAUGUACCCUCUCCCCUUUAUCGUGUACGCAUUUACUCGCUUUCUUUUAUUGCUUGAUUAGAUACUCCUUAGGCAUUAGGAACGCGCACCAUUCAAAAUAAAUAAUCAAACCCUUGAUCCAACGUCAAGCGGUCUCUUUCUCAAGUCAAAUCCAAUAAGCAAACUCUUGAUCCAACGUCAAGCGGUCUUUUCCAAAUCAAACUCAAAAACACAAUAAAUGGCGAUUAGGAUAGUACAUCAUGAGCCUUAAGCGAUAAAGAAGGGAUGAGACUGGAGCUUUCCUACCCUCAUUCUGAAUGCUUCGAACACAAGACGUUUGGCUUGGUAGUUUGAGGUAUUCACCUUUAUCCAUAGUCUUUAGUGCAAUCCGAAAUCAAUAACACUUUCUCAAAAAACCUAAAAACAACUCAACACAUUCAAACCUUUUGUUUGAGCCUUAGGGCGACACCAUCGAAAACCCUUCUUCAAAGUAAUAAAAUCAACAAAACAAACAAACAAUUUCAAACCCACGAACUACGAAGGCUCUGAUUUCUCACUUCAACAAGUGGGCAUACGUAGGCACGAGGAUCCAUUCCUUGGCGAGCACACUAAUUU
This 1012-nucleotide long non-coding RNA is filed under the name Lathyrus oleraceus (garden pea). Its description in RNAcentral is "Pisum sativum (pea) long non-coding RNA (PSAT_LNC017409)". Lineage: Eukaryota; Viridiplantae; Streptophyta; Magnoliopsida; Fabales; Fabaceae. The record is from RNAcentral.